GAUCAUGGCUCAGGACGAACGCUGGCGGCAUGCCUAACACAUGCAAGUCGAACGGAGUAAUGACUUCGGUUAUUACUAGUGGCGAACGGGUGAGUAACACGUGAAUAAUCUGCCCUGUACGAUGGGAUAACAGCUGGAAACGGCUGCUAAUACCGUAUAUGACCACGCCGAGGCAUCUCGGAGGGGUGAAAGCGCUUAAGCGGUACAGGAUGAGUUCGCGUCCAAUUAGCUAGUUGGUGAGGUAACGGCCCACCAAGGCGACGAUUGGUAGCCGACCUGAGAGGGUGAUCGGCCACACUGGAACUGAGACACGGUCCAGACUCCUACGGGAGGCAGCAGUGGGGAAUAUUGGGCAAUGGAGGAAACUCUUACCCAAGCAAUGCCGCGUGAGUGAUGAAGGUCUUCGGAUUGUAAAGCUCUUUGAUUGGGGACGAAUAAAUGACGGUACCCAAGGAACAAGCCCCGGCUAACUAUGUGCCAGCCGCCGC
This 488-nucleotide ribosomal RNA is filed under the name uncultured bacterium. RNAcentral describes it as "bacterial SSU rRNA". It matches the Rfam family "Bacterial small subunit ribosomal RNA", at positions 15 to 518 of the family's 1533-position model. The record is from RNAcentral.